UGGCCGCGGUAUUUUGACCGUGCAAAGGUAGCAUAAUCAUUAGUUUUUUAAUUGAAAGCUGGAAUGAAUGGUUGGACAAGAAAAUUUCUGUCUCUGGUUGAUUUUUUAGAAUUUUAUUUUUUAGUAAGAAAGCUUAAAUUUUUUUAAGGGACGAGAAGACCCUAUAGAAUUUUAUAUAUAUAUAGGUUUUCAAUUUUUAGAAUAAUUAUUUUGUGAUUUAUUGUAUAUAUUUUGUUGGGGUGAUAGAAAAAUUUAAAUAACUUUUUUUUUGUUUUAGUCAUUAAUUAAUGAAUAUUUGAUCCAUUUAUUGUGAUUAUAAGAUUAAAUUACCUUAGGGAUAACAGC
This 345-nucleotide ribosomal RNA is filed under the name Colophon eastmani nagaii. RNAcentral describes it as "partial 16S ribosomal RNA". Lineage: Eukaryota; Metazoa; Arthropoda; Insecta; Coleoptera; Lucanidae. The record is from RNAcentral.